Molecule: transfer RNA, 73 nt
Filed under: Camelus bactrianus (Bactrian camel)
Lineage: Eukaryota; Metazoa; Chordata; Mammalia; Artiodactyla; Camelidae
Also listed under: 3 other names
Rfam family: tRNA
About the family: Transfer RNA (tRNA) molecules are approximately 80 nucleotides in length. Their secondary structure includes four short double-helical elements and three loops (D, anti-codon, and T loops).
Source: Rfam by way of RNAcentral
GGAGUGGACAGCUCAGCAGGAGAGCACCUGCUUAGCAUGCACAGUGUCCUGGGUUCAAUCCCCAGCACCUCCA